This 494-nucleotide ribosomal RNA is filed under the name uncultured bacterium. RNAcentral describes it as "partial 16S ribosomal RNA". It matches the Rfam family "Bacterial small subunit ribosomal RNA", at positions 28 to 507 of the family's 1533-position model. The record is from RNAcentral.
GACGAACGCUGGCGGCGUGCCUAAUACAUGCAAGUAGAACGCUGAAGGAGGAGCUUGCUUCUCUGGAUGAGUUGCGAACGGGUGAGUAACGCGUAGGUAACCUGCCUGGUAGCGGGGGAUAACUAUUGGAAACGAUAGCUAAUACCGCAUAAUAGUAGAUGUUGCAUGACAUUUGCUUAAAAGGUGCAAUUGCAUCACUACCAGAUGGACCUGCGUUGUAUUAGCUAGUUGGUGGGGUAACGGCUCACCAAGGCGACGAUACAUAGCCGACCUGAGAGGGUGAUCGGCCACACUGGGACUGAGACACGGCCCAGACUCCUACGGGAGGCAGCAGUAGGGAAUCUUCGGCAAUGGACGGAAGUCUGACGAGCAACGCCGCGUGAGUGAAGAAGGUUUUCGGAUCGUAAAGCUCUGUUGUAAGAGAAGAACGAGUGUGAGAGUGGAAAGUUCACACUGUGACGGUAUCUUACCAGAAAGGGACGGCUAACUACGUG